GACGAACGCUGGCGGCGUGCUUAACACAUGCAAGUCGAACGGAAAGGCCCUGCUUUUGUGGGGUGCUCGAGUGGCGAACGGGUGAGUAACACGUGAGUAACCUGCCCUUGACUUUGGGAUAACUUCAGGAAACUGGGGCUAAUACCGGAUAGGAGCUCCUGCUGCAUGGUGGGGGUUGGAAAGUUUCGGCGGUUGGGGAUGGACUCGCGGCUUAUCAGCUUGUUGGUGGGGUAGUGGCUUACCAAGGCUUUGACGGGUAGCCGGCCUGAGAGGGUGACCGGCCACAUUGGGACUGAGAUACGGCCCAGAAUCCUACGGGAGGCAGAAGUGGGGAAUAUUGCACAAUGGGCGGAAGCCUGAUGCAGCAACGCCGCGUGCGGGAUGACGGCCUUCGGGUUGUAAACCGAUUUCGCCUGUGACGAAGCGUGAGUGACGGUAAUGGGUAAAGAAGCACCGGCUAACUACGUG
RNAcentral lists this ribosomal RNA (468 nucleotides) under uncultured bacterium. RNAcentral describes it as "partial 16S ribosomal RNA". It matches the Rfam family "Bacterial small subunit ribosomal RNA", at positions 28 to 507 of the family's 1533-position model. The record is from RNAcentral.